AACAGGAUUAGAUACCCUGGUAGUCCACGCCCUAAACGAUGUCAACUGGUUGUUGGGAGGGUUUCUUCUCAGUAACGAAGCUAACGCGUGAAGUUGACCGCCUGGGGAGUACGGCCGCAAGGUUGAAACUCAAAGGAAUUGACAGGGACCCGCACAAGCGGUGGAUGAUGUGGUUUAAUUCGAUGCAACGCGAAAAACCUUACCUACCCUUGACAUGUCUGGAAUUCCGAAGAGAUUUGGAAGUGCUCGAAAGAGAGCCAGAACACAGGUGCUGCAUGGCCGUCGUCAGCUCGUGUCGUGAGAUGUUGGGUUAAGUCCCGCAACGAGCGCAACCCUUGUCAUUAGUUGCUACGAAAGGGCACUCUAAUGAGACUGCCGGUGACAAACCGGAGGAAGGUGGGGAUGACGUCAGGUCAUCAUGGCCCUUAUGGGUAGGGCUACACACGUCAUACAAUGGCCGGGACAGAGGGCUGCCAACCCGCGAGGGGGAGCUAAUCCCAGAAACCCGGUCGUAGUCCGGAUCGUAGUCUGCAACUCGACUGCGUGAAGUCGGAAUCGCUAGUAAUCGCGGAUCAGCUUGCCGCGGUGAAUACGUUCCCGGGUCUUGUACACACCGCCUGUCACACCAUGGGAGCGGGUUCUGCCAGAAGUAGUUAGCCUAACCGCAAGGAGGGCGAUUACCACGGCAGGGUUCGUGACUGGGGUGAAGUCGUAACAAGGUAACC
This 725-nucleotide ribosomal RNA is filed under the name uncultured bacterium. RNAcentral's name for it is "bacterial SSU rRNA". It matches the Rfam family "Bacterial small subunit ribosomal RNA", at positions 771 to 1501 of the family's 1533-position model. The record is from RNAcentral.